Mustela erminea (ermine) is the source of this 78-nucleotide long non-coding RNA. RefSeq lists it as uncharacterized. The transcript is spliced from 3 exons. The record is from RefSeq and is a predicted model, not a curated record. NCBI's taxonomy places the organism in Eukaryota, Metazoa, Chordata, Mammalia, Carnivora, Mustelidae.
ACCUUCAUGCUGUUUUUCCAGAGUGGCUCUAUCAGCUUGCACUGCCACCAACAGUGUGAGAGGGUUCCCCUUUCUCCA